Molecule: long non-coding RNA, 13624 nt
Filed under: Triticum aestivum (bread wheat)
Lineage: Eukaryota; Viridiplantae; Streptophyta; Magnoliopsida; Poales; Poaceae
Description: long non-coding RNA (TAES_LNC014057)
Source: RNAcentral
CUUCUUGGUCUGAUUCGUAGUACUCGUAAUCGCCUUCGUCGUCUCGCUCUUGCUGUUCCUGCAGGAUGGAGUCCAGCUCCCUGUCCCACAGCCAGGUGCCGAGCACCUCAUCCUCUAGCUUCUUUCUCAGGGCCGCCAUGUCCAGAUCCGGCUCCAUGGCCGCCGAGGCGCCGCGAGAUCGAUCCGCGAGACAGAUUUACAGGGGACAAAAGGGAGGAACUGACCUUCUUCUCCACCCUCCGUGAUCUCCUUCCUCCGCCGACACGGACGGAUCGAGAGGCGAUUUUCCGGCGGGCGCCGAGGCGAUCUCCCUCGAUGAACGGCCGCCGCCGAGGCGAUCUCCUUCCUCGCGGACGCGACUUCGCUGCUGACUCUUUGCAACAGCGGCUACUGGGCUUUCUACUUUUCAACCCGGGCGGGGGUCUAAUGGGCUUUCUACUAGUACUAUUAUUUUACGUGAUAGUCAGGCCGAAAUUGAAUAUAUAUUUUUACGAUCAUGUUUAUUUUUUUUCAACAUAACUAACUUUAUUCCUCAUAUAAUAGCCAUGCCAUUUACAAUAAAAUCAUGUUUUUCCAUAAAAAACAAUAAAAAUCAUGUGAUUCUAAGAAAAAAAAUCAUGUUUCUCAAUCAAUGUGCGGGUACACUAAAAAAAGUCAAUAUGCGGCUAGUAGCUUCAUGGUGGCAGAGGUUUGCAAGGGUUGGCAUGGUGGUGAGAGAUCAUGAGGGAUCGGUGCUCAUUUCUUCAUGGUCUGCACAAAUGUCGAGGAAAUAGAACCGCGAGCUUGUUUAGUGGGAUUGUAUAUUGCAGUUUCACCGCAUAAGCCCGUCAUUUUGGAGACUAAUUGUUUGUUUACAAAAAUAUAUUUGUCUAAUAAUGUUUUGUAUAACUCAGCCCUCGUGGAUUUAAAGAGGGAAGCCUUAGGUGUCCCUCAACUUAUUCCACAGUGUAACAUGGCAUGGAUUACUAGGGACAAGAACAAAGUGGGCCAUUAGAUUGCUAAAUUUCGGCUUGAUUCUAGAUUGGGUGGAUUAAUUUUAGCAGAGUGUACCAUCCUGCGAAACGGAUUCUAUAACGAACGGUUGUAUUAAAGUUUAUUAAUUAAUAUGUGAAUGGGUUUAAAAAUGUUUAUCAAUUAAUAAAAGCAGUAAAGUGAAGCUUUUUAAAAUAUUUUUGUCACUAACUCAUUGAGGUAAUCUUGCUAAAACUUUCUAGAUGCCUCCAACUCCCAAUUUGAUCUGAACUCUAAUUUUAGCUAAUCCAACAAGUUUACACUGUCACAACACAUUUCUUGUGUACUAACUAUAAACCUUCGUAGCAACAGGACAAAACUAAGUGAAACCACUUCACAUUGUAGCAAACAAUAGAAUCACUGAAGAAAAUAGUGAGGUGUCAGAAUUGAUCUUAAUCUACAAGAGGCCGGUCAAUGGCUGAAAUGAUUUUGAGCAAUCAUAGCCACUAUAAUAGCCUUAAGGGUGAGUAUGUGUCUUGUGAGUGGAGAGGGGGCGGGGGCGGGGCAAUGGGACGCAUUUAAAAGGCAGUUCGGUGAAAGUGGGAUUUGAGGAGCAUGCCACCAACCAUAAGGGUGGGAUUUGAGGAGCAUGCCACCAACCAUAAGGGGCAGUGCAUGUUCUUGUCAGUUGGCCGAUAUAAAUGUUUGAAUCAGGGUACCAUGAGUUUAAAUUCUGAGAUUAUACAUUAUUACUAGUACUAUGGUAGAUUGGGAAGAUCAUUCAUACUACAUACUAUUGGGGUUGAUGUCAAGACGCUAGAGACAUGCAUUCUACGCAAGACAACUCCAAUUAUCCUCACAAGCUGGGAUCCGGCUUGCCUGCUCUCUCCCCGUGCUCCCAUCCGUACUCCCAUUUCAUCCUACGACUAUCUUUUUUUCUUUUUUUUCUUUCUAAUCUAGUCGUCACCCCCCUGAUUUUAAGAGGAUGGGGUCAGGACUUAUUUUGUUCCAAUCAAAUAAAGCCACGUACGCGGGAGCAUGGAUAGGCACAUGCGUGGGGAGCAGACAAGUCUCGUCCCACAAGCUGCGCACGCCGUGCCAUGCAUUGGGUUAUCUGGGAGCAACGAAAAAAUAUUAGCAUUUCCAUGGGUGGUUGUUAAAUCCAUCUCAACUGAAGCUCGUGCACUUCUAUGGAUGCCACUACUAGAAUCGUCUUGAUUACUUUGUUACACUUGAAAAAUACAAAACACUCUGCAAAGGCCAACCUUUGCCGGUUGUUUCUUACAAAGCACUCUGGCAUUUUCUUUCUUUCUUUAUCUCUCGUUUUCUUUAUUUUCUUCAUUUCUCUUUUAUUUUCUUCAUUUUUCUUUUAUUUUCUAUCUUUUAUAAUUUUUUUUCUUUUUCUUCUCCUUUUCUAGACAUUUAAUAGAUAUAGUUCAAAUGAAAUUUGAAUUGUAAGUGCAUGAAAACGUUGGCAAAAAUGGGUUGAAGUACUAAAUUUGAAUCAAAAGGAGUAUUGAAAUUAAACGUUAAUGCACCAUUCAUCUAUCUACUAUAACUAAGCUCCAUAUGGGAAAUUAAUCGGCAGGUGCAUCAGUCUCGUGCACGCUCUCAUCACCUAACAAAAAAUUAAUGCCAUCAUGUAACACUGGUGGGUCAACAAUUUCUUUUCUUAAGAAGCUCUCACAUUCAAGUGAGGUGUUCAAUUUUGAAUCUGGUUCACGAUUUUGACCGGUCAAUGAUUUUGGAUGGUUAGGAGGCAUGAUUUUGACCAGUCAAUGAUUUUGGAUAGUUAGGAGGACAUUGGUAUUCCCAGCCCACCAGAGUUUAAGUCCUGGAACUGACAUUAGUGCUCGUAUUUUUCUGGAUUUAUUUCAGGCCUUUUAGCAAUGUGCGUUCAGUGGGAGGAGACGUUUCCAUUGACUACGCAUGCGUCUGUGGCACCUUCAUCAAUCUCAAGAUGAAGUACCGCUCUAUCUCUCAGAGGUGCUCAUUGGGAUAGAGUGUACGUGCAUGCAUUAUAAGGGAUGAGUGUAUGUGUGUGUAUAUGAGCGUCUGCAUCCGUGUUAAAAAAAUUGAGAGGUGAUUUUUUUGUGAGGGAAACCCACUAUGAUCAAAUGAAGAGCGGUCUUUUUUGGUUCUUUCAUUUCUUUAUCACACUAGGUGAAAGUUUAGAAGUAUCUCCAAAUCUUCUACUAAAAUACAAAAUGUUGAAAAAUCAGUUUUUUUUUGCAACAUGCAUCCAUGUUAUAUACAACACAUAGUGCUCCAAAUUUGACUGUGAAUAGACUCAAAUGCAUUGUGUUCUAUAUCAACGUCUUUCCGUUGCACACACGGUAGAUUAUUACUUCCUCCUGUUCUUUUUACUUUGAAUAUUAUCUAAAGUCAAACUUUAUAAAGGUUGACCAUAUAUUUAUAUAAGAAAUAUCAACAUGUAAAAACACAGAAGUUAUACAAUUUAAAAAUUAAACUCAUGGCGCACCUAAUGAUAUUAAUUUUAUAUAUCAAAUGUUGAUAUUUUUUGCAUCAGAGGGUAUCUUAGAGCAUCUUUAGUAGCAGACCCUUUAAAAUCGCAAACUGUAAAACUAGGAUACAGAUAAAAAAAUUACAUUUUAAGGGUUCAUUUUAGCUUCCUCUAGUUCGGUUGCUGCUCGUUCCCUAGCCGGCCGCGCCAGCCAUGCCCAACCCCGUCGACCGCGCCCGUCCCUGCCAAGCGCACUUCAUCACCAUGCCGGCCGCGCCCCGUCGCCCGCCGUCCCCGCCUUGCUCUAUUGCCAGCCGCGCUAGGCUAGCCGUGCCCCUUUGCGUGCCAUGCCGGGAGGAUUCCGGCGGCCAGGCUGAGGUCAUGGAAGGUCACAGCGAUGUCAAGUUCGUCCAACUCGAACUGGCGGUGAUCAAUUGCGGCGUCUAACGAGCUUUUCCGGGGUGUGGUGAUGAAUUCCGACAAGUUUAGGACGGAUUCCGGCAAACUUCGCGACGACGUGUUUGCUCCAACGAGGUUUGGCCAGUACACGGGUCCCCUUCAGUUUGGCCUUCCAACCUUCAAAGAUAAGGGUUUCGGGUAUGCAUUUUCGGCGGUCCUUAAAAAAUUUAUGGGCUGAACCACUUUUACGAUUCGGACAUUUUUUUUUGACCAUGCAAAGGUUAUGACAAUAUGACCAGUUAUACAGGGUUGCUCAAAAAAAUACAGGGUCUGCUAGAGAUGCUCUUAAUACGUGGAGCCAAUAUGAUACAGCCAUAAAGGCCACAAAGAAAUGCUGAUUGAACAUUUAUAUUAUCCAUUUCUCAAUCCAGUUCUUGAUGCUGACCACAAAGAAAUGCCGAUUGAACAUUUAUAUUGUUCAUUUCUCAAUCCAGUUCUUGAUGCCACUUCGCAGCAUCUUGCAUUUGAUUAUUAGUACGUACAAUAAUAAAUUUGUGAAAAAUACUUUUUAAGAGAAAUCUACGUGUGGCGUUUUGGCGGCUCUAGAUCUGAUCAUUUUUUGAAAGAAAAAAUGAGCGUGCAGAUUCUUCUUAAGACAAAUCAACACGAAUUAUUACACUUUCUCGAUUAAUUUUUUUUACUGAGUCGAUCUGUAUGUUUUUGACAAAAGAAUAGAAGGGAUACAGUGCAGCCAUUUUGAACAUCACACGCCAUAACUUCUCUAGCUGCGGACAGCACAACCUUAAUGGGAUUUUGCACAAUUAGCACGAAGCUCAACAUACUCCAUUUGACAGCUGACCAGCGACCACGAAACAUUAUUCAAAUUUUUAUCAGUAGUAAGGAAGUAUUCAAACUCUUGGCAGAAACCACAAUGCUGCCGUGUCGAACAAUAAGAAACAAGGGCCAUAAGCAUCAUCAUCGUGUCGAACUCGCCAUGAACAGACGUUUGUGUCGGUGUCACCGACGACAGAACACGUAGCCCACACGGCAACCAUCAACAGCACGACCCAAACCAAAACAACGCAAAAAAACAGCAAUUGGUCGCACAACAAAUCAAGAUAGAAUACCACGAUGGGAUCAAGGACACGACAACAACAGAGUUGCUGCUACCAACAAUAGUUGUGAGGUCGUCAACAUACGUUUGCUUCAUCGCAAACCAAAAGUAACAUCAUCACAUAUCAAGUUCGUCUUACUCAUACCAACAACCAUAUUUCUUCCACAGAAAACAAGAGAGACCUAGCACGGCAAUUAGGAACAAACUACAACCGGAAGCAACACAUUCCACUUCCGAUCCACUAACAGCGUUGACGGGGAGGACGGCUUAGGCCCUUUCGCCACGGAUGCGGCGGGCGAGCUGGAUGUCCUUGGGCAUGAUGGUGACGCGCUUGGCGUGGAUGGCGCACAGGUUGGUGUCCUCGAAGAGUCCCACCAGGUACGCCUCGGCCGCCUCCUGGAGGGCCAGCACUGCGUGGCUCUGGAAGCGGAGGUCGGUCUUGAAGUCCUGGGCGAUCUCCCUCACCAGGCGCUGGAAGGGCAGCUUGCGGAUCAGCAGCUCCGUGCUCUUCUGGUACUUGCGGAUCUCACGGAGCGCCACGGUCCCGGGCCUGUAGCGGUGGGGCUUCUUCACGCCGCCGGUCGUCGGCGCCGACUUCCUCGCGGCCUGAAAUCACACGCGCGGAAUCACCAUCAGCAAACAACAUCGAACAGAUCUGGACAAGGGAAAGAGGAAGGGGGACGAGAGAAGGGGGGCGGACGCACCUUGGUGGCGAGCUGCUUUCGGGGCUGAUCAAUGAUUGACUAAGCUUAAUUAUGUUCCAUCUGAAAAAGGAUAGGAAUAAUUUUAAAUUUUCGUAUUGUUUUUACAGUGUGAUGAUGACGUUAAUUGUUGCUGCUCUACUUUGCAUACAUCAAUUUAUUUUCAGAUUCUUGGCUUUGUAACACGUUGAGAGGGAGUAUAACAUCAUGGCCGAUGCUAUAUUGUAGUAGUAAUUCCAGUCAAGGCAUGAUUAUAUUACUGGAGGAUGUUGAACUCAACAGGUCAUACUCUUAUUGAUUCCUUAGGAUCCUCUAUUUGUCGAGAGCCCAACGGUCAUGAAAUCAACUACGGGUGAUUUUAAUCUAUGCAUCCUCAGGUCUGGGGAAAUUUGAUAAUGGAAGCCUUCACCGUGGAGGAUUUCCCAGAGAAUAUAUGGGUGUUAAUUACAAGGCUUAGGAGAACUGUUCAGGGUGUGUGAGCACAACAAAACUCGGCAACUUCUUGAUGGCAACUGUGAAAUCAACAUAAAAGGUAUAUUUCCUUUAUCAACUACUUGUAAUAAUGUACGUGCAAUGCACGUUUAUAUUAGGUAGGAUAUUAGUUGCACGUUAUAUUAGGUAAGAUAUAUUUGUUGCAUGUUGGUAUUUGGUAAGAUAUUAAUUACUUUUUCACGGGAAUGGUAGGAUACUAAUUACAUGGCAGAUUUCAAGGAAUAACGUUGACAGGUAGGAUAUUAGUUGCACGUUAUAUUAGGUAAGAUAUAUCUGUUGCAUGUUGGUAUUUGGUAAGAUAUUAAUUACUUUUUCACGAGAAUGGUAGGAUACUAAUUAUAUGGCAGAUUUCAAGGGAUAGCAUUGACUCAAAAUGUGUUUAUAAUCAAUGGCAGUGGUGGUUAAUUAGAGCGGUUAACGUGUUUGGUGCUUAACAUUGGAGCGAUUUGAACCGCUAGAUAACAUGAUUUGACGGUCGAGAUGGUUUGGAUUUGCCCAUUUGGGUUUUUUUAUUGGUAUAGAUUAAUCUUAAGUCUAUAUUCACGAAGAGUAAUACCUUGUUCCAUCCAAAGGUGGCAUAAAAGGCAAAGUGCUGAUGGGACACAAUAGAUGCCUGGUUUUUACUGAAGCUACAAUUUAUUUUUAUUUUUGCGUUGUGAAGCUCCAGUUUAUACAAUAAAACGUGUGUGGAAGAAUGAAAGCUGAGGUGUCAUUUUAUUCAUGUUUGCUUUGAAAUACUCCUAUAUAUUUGGCAGAACAAUCAGCUCAAGUAUAAACAGAAAACACGGGAUGUGCCACAACAGAAAUUAUUGACUAUGUGGCGGCAUAGAAUAUUCCAAUUUUGUUCAAAAUUUCUUUCCCCAAUUUUAUGUCUAGGCUUUCAAAGUAAUGGUUGAUGAACAAAAAAUAUUGGAAAGUUAUAAAGUAUAACUACUGCAGCUAUCAAUAAUUAUAUAUUUGGUCCGUGUCCUUUUACCUCGUGAAAGAUAGAGAAUUUGUAGGUAGCUUCGGUUGAGGGAGCAGACUUGCACUCACCAAAUGUGCUAUAAAAUGUCCAAUUCAUGUGGUGUGAAUUACUCUGAAUAUAUAUGGAGUACUCAGUAUUCUCUCUCUCCCUCCCUCUCUCUCUCUCUCCGCGCCCGUCGGGGAAUAAAGUGACGAUUAUUCUAAAUAUAUAGGAAGAUUAAGAAACAAUAUCUCAUAAUUAACAAAUACUCUAACCUGGUAUGUUGCUUCUACUGUAUGCUGAUUCUUCAAGAGGUGUUCAUCACUGUCAACAUUUAUCCAUCAAUCAUUUGAAAAAAAAGAUCGAUAAGACUCGAACCAGCUUCACACUAUUCCCCUGUGCACUAACUAAUGUUUUGUUUAAUUAAAACCCUAAACCCAACUUCAAACUAUUCCCCUGGAUGCCAGCUAAUUUUUAGUUCAAGUACUAAGAUACUUAUGUGUUAGUUCAUGCAAAUUUACAAGCAUGUCUCAUAUCUUCGUAUACUUAUAGAAAUUCCUAUCAUUUUAUAGCAAAAAUAGAUGGGCGCGGCAACGCGCGCCGUAAUGGUCUAGUAUGGUGUUAUUUUACAACAAACUCUAGGGCUGUUUGUGACACUUAUAGGAAUAUAUAGCUCAAUAGAUUGAUCGAAAAGGAUAACUUUGAGGUGGCUUCGUACCCUACAAACCAUUUCCUCUUAUGUUCUCUCCUUGAUAAGAAUUUUGGAGUGAUUCUUUGUCGCGCGUUGAGGGAUUGUUAUAUGAUUCAAUUAUGUUAGCACCGUUGAGAGAUUGCAUUAGUGAAAGUAUUUGAACCCUAGGCCUUAUUUGUAAGCAUUGCAAUACUGUUCAUGCUCCGUUUUGUCACUUGCUACCUUGCUGUUUUUAUAUUUUCAUAUUACAAAAACCUAUAUCUACUAUCCAUACUAAACUUCUAUCACCAUCUCUUCGCCGAACUAGUGCAACUAUACAAUUUGUCAUUGUAUUGGGUGUGUUUGGGACACAAGAGAUUUCUUGUAUUUGAUUGCAGGUUAUGAGAAAGACCAUCUUCAUCCUACACCUCCAACGGAUUGAUAAACCUUAGGUCAUUCACUUGAGGCAAAUUUAUUGUUGUCCUACAAAACUCUGCACUUGGAGGCCUAACAUGAGUCUACAAGAAUAAAUUGUGUAGUAGACAUCGACUUGUUGGGGAGGUUACGAGCACAACGCGGUGCUCGGAUACGAGCGACAGAAGCUGUGUGCGCGGCGACGGGCUUUCGGCCAGAGCAGAACAAAGGUGACAACAGCGUUGCGACUGCGGAUCGAGAGUGUCGAGAGAGGGGAAAAGAUUGGGAGCUCACCUAGGGGGCACACGGUGGCCCGUUGGUGGCUUAGUAGCACAGAUGGUGGCCGGAUUCGACAAAGAACGUCGGUGACCGAAGGUUCAAGAGGAUCUCGAUCCGCUUGAUGCAGGCAUUCCCGACUCGAGCUGAUCGUUGUAGACGAAGUAGAAGAGGCAGGCGAAUCUCCUGGCGGGAUCUUAGUUGAUGGGGACGCCGGUGGCCAUGUGAACGGAGGAGACCAUGGCGAUGGUGGCAUUGGGGAGAAUCGAGCGGUGCGAGGGAGAGGGGAAAUUGAGCUAGGGUUUGUGCCGGGGGUUGGCCUUAUGCUCCAAGAGAGCCGGGGGAUGGCCGGCACGCCACAUGGCGCGGCCAUGGCCGGUGGAUGCCUGCCGCGAUCCCCCCUCCGCCGCGCAUGAACAGGAGGUAGGGAUGACACGUAUGUGGGCUGGGCCGCCACUAUAGUAGCAGGCCGAAGUGCACAAUAGUUUUUCUCUUUUUCUUUUAUUCUUUUCUGGUUCUUUUAUUUCUUUGCUAGUUUGCAUUUAAAUUUAAUACAAAUGAAUUUUGUUGAUUAUGAAACUUGGCACAUAAAUAGUAGUCAGUUUUUGAGCUAGCACAACAAGUCUCAAUUUAUUUUGAAUAUUUAUUUAAUAUGAAAAGGCUUAAUAUAAUGUUGCUAGUCCACUAAAAUAAUUACCAAGGGCGAUUUGGGCCUCCAAAUGGAGUUGAUAAUAUUUUUACCGAUACUUGGGGAAUUUAUGACAUAUUGUAAAGAAUUUUGUUCAGUGUUUGAAGAGAUAAUAAUUUGAUUUGCAAUUUAAAUUUGACUUUGAUUUUUAUCAAGUGGCAAUUUGGCUUAGUAAAACAUGAUGACAUGGCAUCACUAGCAUGGGUUCAUUAUAGCUUAACUAUUGGGGUGUUACAACCAUGGACCGGCGACUUCCUGGUCGGGUACCGCCGACCCUAACAUCUCUGCAAUCAGUGCAUCGUCAAUGAUAUCCAGGAGCCCGAGCGCACACCAAACACUCUGUGCACAAGUGUAGGUAAAUGACAAGUGAUGAAUAUUCUACAGACCUGACCGACAAAUAGGACAUUAUGGAGAGACGGGUAUAUGUCGCAAUGCAAGGAUCGCCAUGCGAGGAACUGUACCAUGCAGAGCCUUCCAUAGGAACACCUUACUCUUACUUGGGAUUUUUAACUUCCAUAAGAUGUCCCGCACCGGGUUCGGUGCAGCAGAGCCGGGAAAGUAUCAAGUACUCCCACCCCUAGGGUGCUCCGGGUGCACCCAUGCCGAAAAACAUUUUUAAAAUAUUCAAAAAAUUCUGAAAAAAUGCAGCACAUCGAUGGAACAUCGAUGUCUCUUGUCACAAAAUUUCAAAUAAAAAUUCAAAACAUUGCUCGAGAUAUAAAAAUGACAAAUUUGACGUCAAUGUGAUAAUGGGCCAAAUCUAAAGCCCAACUUAUGUUAUGUACAAAAACUUGUCAUUUUUGUAUCUCGAGCAAUGUUUCGAAUUUUGAUAUGAAAUUUUGUGACAAGAGACAUCGAUGUUCCGUUAAUGUGCUGUAUUUUUUUCAGAAUUUUUUGAACAAUUUAAAAAUGUUUUUCGGACAUUUGGAGCACCGGGAGUAUCCCAAGCCUGGGAGUACUAGAUACUUUCCCCAGCAGAGCCUUGCUCACCUUCUCUUCCAGUUCGUGCGCCGAAUAUAUGCUCCUAUUCAAUGUGACAGGCAGAGCGAACAGAGAAUAAAAAAAAAAGUUCUUAUACGACACCACAAAAUCUUCCUGCAAUGUGGACUCAAAGGGAUUGCAAGAAUAUUGUUUUGCAUCAGUGGGUAAGAAAAUAUCUCUGUUCGUCCCAGCCACCAUUAUGUUGAUCCAUCAGAUUGUCAGCAAUAUGCAGAACAGAAUAUGGUGGCCCCUCCUGGUAAAAACUUUCCUGGAGUGGCUAUUUGGGAUCCGAUGGUCUUCCCAAAUGUUAAUUCUUUCUCUUCAGCCAACUCUCUGAAUAUGUCACACUUCAAAGUUUGCAGUCGUGCAAGAAUGCUCCCCAAGCCCACGUUAGUACUGCAGACAUGUUUGCUGUAGGCCGGUUUGCUUCAGAGUUCACAUAAUGGAUUUCUUGAAUUUUGGUACAGAAGAAGAAGACCCAAACGAAUCUGCAUCUUCUGACCCGAAAAAUCAGGAGACACACUCCCGCUAACACUAUUUUAUGUAUUAUCUUUGUUUCUGAAUUUCUGUUGCACAAAUUGAUCACAUGGAUAGUUAAUAAACUUGAGCAUUAGCCACUGUACUUCCUAUAUGUCGAUAAACGGUACAUUGCUUUUCACUUUGCAGCCAGAGGUUUAGACUUCACAUGGAUUAAUGCAGUUAUUUUUGGAGAUAAUUGCUAAUUCAAACUUCAAGGUACUACCUUUUUCUUUUCUUAUCUUGAUAAAUGAUAAGCUUAGAACUUUAGUUAUAUAGGUAUAUCAAAAUUUAGGACCCUAUUUUGCAUUUCAUGCUAGCCUCACCCCACCGGCCGCCAUGGCUCGCACCAUGGCUGCUGUGUUUUUUUCUUGGCAGUGCCACCUCGGCUCUGCCUUGGCCUGCGAGCAUUGCUUGGAUGUGGCCUCGUUGCAACUACGAAUAAGGGUGCCGUCGAAACAGAGCUCCACAUCCAUCCCCGAAGCACACCCUACCCUGACACAUGUGCCGACGACCGCAAAGCUAACGCCUANNNNNNNNNNNNNNNNNNNNNNNNNNNNNNNNNNNNNNNNNNNNNNNNNNNNNNNNNNNNNNNNNNNNNNNNNNNNNNNNNNNNNNNNNNNNNNNNNNNNNNNNNNNNNNNNNNNNNNNNNNNNNNNNNNNNNNNNNNNNNNNNNNNNNNNNNNNNNNNNNNNNNNNNNNNNNNNNNNNNNNNNNNNNNNNNNNNNNNNNNNNNNNNNNNNNNNNNNNNNNNNNNNNNNNNNNNNNNNNNNNNNNNNNNNNNNNNNNNNNNNNNNNNNNNNNNNNNNNNNNNNNGGAAACCAUCGAGUGUGGAGGGGCGGUGAUGACGAUCUCUCCGAAGGGCUUAACGAGGGGUAGUAGAGGUCAUGCCAGUGGGCAGCGUGCCAGACGGUGAAAAAAAACCUUGGCGGCAAAAACUAGAGAAAAUGAAAAACCUCGAACUAGCACAUCCAAUCAGCACUAAAACUGGGAAAAAUACUAAAUGGCGUAAACCGUGGCACAUGUUUGCUUAAAUGGGGUAUAAAUGAAGUAAUAUCUGUCACAAACGUGAAACUUGCGGGUAAAGAGUGGAAUUAACUCUAAACUAUGUCAAGUAAGAAAACGCUUCUAUAUAUAAAAGUAUAUUGUACAAACCUUGGGACAUAUAAAUCUUACUGACAUGGUUCACACAAGCUAGACCAUGUGGCCUUCACUGACAUUACAAGACCGUACAUAUUACUUGAAAUUUUCGUAGAGCUUCCACUCUUCUGUGGUUCAAACCACACAGUGUCAAAUAUAAUAUCCUCAAUGUCGUAGUGAAAAUAUCCGGGAAUUUUCGAAUCACCAACAACGCCAUCAGGAUAGCAAUUAUCAUCACCUGAGUGACGGUUGUGCGUGUAUAAGUCUAUAGUCAAAUUCUCGGUGUAAUCCACACAAACCAUGACCGGUGGCAGUCUGCAAACACUCAACUUGCCAUUGAAGACUGAAAAAGCACCCCCUUGCAUGGUACGGUAGACCGCAGUUAUUGUAAGUGAAUCAAACAAAUUGUUCCCAAGAUGAUGCACCUCAAACUCCAACAUAGCCAACACGGCCUUUGGGAUAGAAGCCAUUCUUAGAUCGGCGCUGCCGUGGUGGCCAGUGUUAAUGUGCCAAUGGUGUCUUUCAUAUUCUGCAUAGAAAGAUGGAGCAUAGACCGAAUAUCCGUCUAUUAACACCUUAUCAUCUUCACCUUCUUCAUCUUUAAUUAGCAAACGAUAUUCAAUUAGCACAAGCCCAACCGCGUAGAUGCCUUGAAGUGGAUUAAGUAGAGGUUGAAGCUUACAAGAACCCUGUAUAUUGUAUAGUUAGACACAUAUCCUGCAGAUUUCUUCAGUAAAGAGAAAAUAAGAGAAGGUACAACAUAACUCACCGGCUUAAGCUUACAUGGUUUGUCUCUAGAGUAUUCAAAGACAUAGUUGCGUAGUUGGUUGUUUCGUACAUCUCGGAAUGCAAACAUGCCGUAGACCUCUAAGGUGGCAUCGUGAGGAGACGAUAAAUUCAAACUAAACACUUGGAUUGCCCGUCGACAAGGUUCAUUCUCCCUUUUGUCGACCCAACGGUUUUCCCAUCUUGGCAAUAGAGGCACUGCAGGCAAUAUGAAAACAAAUCAUUAGAUAUCAAAAGUUGCACAGUAAAUACAUGGAUAAUGUCAUAUAGAUUAGAACUUCGGAAUCUUACAAUAUAUAGAACCCGAGGAAGACUUCUCUCGAUUUUUCUCUUUACACAUGCUUAGGUAUUUUUUUAUGACUUAUGGAACUCCCUUCCCUUGGUCCACAAGCAAAUCAUUGGACAUGGCGUAGAAAUAGAGAAUAUGACUUGCUCAAGAUACAAUCGCCAUGCGCAUGCAAAUCUUUUUUUAACUUUAUUUAUAAAGGCAUACCGUCAAACUUUCUAAAAAAUUGCCACCGGUACAAACAUAUUUGAGAUUGUGAUGUUCUAGAAUCUGUGGGUUCAAAACUUAUAAAAUGUACUUGUCAUCAUAUGCUUAAAACUAAGUGAAUUCAUCAAAACAUAAAAACUAGUACACAAUUGCAAUUAAGCGUGGCCACUUACGCAAGCUUUGAGCAGAUAACAGUGUUGGAUCGAGCUGACACGGGCCCUUGACCUGAAGAGACCCCUCCCAGAUCCCCCUUGAUCUCUUGGCGCAGGACCUGGUCGGCGGAAACCGCAUCUGAUUCUCCCACCUCUCCUCCAUGUCGGCGACGUAAUAAGGGUUCCCGUCCUCGUAGUAGAACCACCAUAGUGGAGCUCCUUUUCUUCUUGGUCUGAUUCGUAGUACUCGUAAUUGCCUUCGUCGUCUCGCUCUUGCUGUUCCUGCAGGAUGGAGUCCAGCUCCCUGUCCCACAGCCAGGUGCCGAGCACCUCAUCCUCUAGCUUCUUUCUCAGGGCCGCCAUGUCCAGAUCCGGCUCCAUGGCCGCCGAGGCGCCGCGAGAUCGAUCCGCGAGACAGAUUUACAGGGGACAAAAGGGAGG